AUUGAACGCUGGCGGCAGGCCUAACACAUGCAAGUCGAGCGGCAGCACAAGGGAGUUUACUCCUGAGGUGGCGAGCGGCGGACGGGUGAGUAAUGCCUAGGGAUCUGCCCAGUCGAGGGGGAUAACAGUUGGAAACGACUGCUAAUACCGCAUACGCCCUACGGGGGAAAGGAGGGGACCUUCGGGCCUUCCGCGAUUGGAUGAACCUAGGUGGGAUUAGCUAGUUGGUGAGGUAAUGGCUCACCAAGGCGACGAUCCCUAGCUGUUCUGAGAGGAUGAUCAGCCACACUGGGACUGAGACACGGCCCAGACUCCUACGGGAGGCAGCAGUGGGGAAUAUUGCACAAUGGGGGAAACCCUGAUGCAGCCAUGCCGCGUGUGUGAAGAAGGCCUUCGGGUUGUAAAGCACUUUCAGUAGGGAGGAAAGGGUGUAGUUUAAUACGCUAUAUCUGUGACGUUACCUACAGAAGAAGGACCGGCUAACUCCGUG
RNAcentral lists this ribosomal RNA (490 nucleotides) under uncultured organism. RNAcentral's name for it is "bacterial SSU rRNA". It matches the Rfam family "Bacterial small subunit ribosomal RNA", at positions 30 to 507 of the family's 1533-position model. The record is from RNAcentral.